Molecule: long non-coding RNA, 654 nt
Filed under: Homo sapiens (human)
Lineage: Eukaryota; Metazoa; Chordata; Mammalia; Primates; Hominidae
Description: HSALNT0031585
Source: RNAcentral
UUUUAUGAAGGCAUGCCUAAUACAUACUGAUGCAGCCUGAGUGUUGAACUUUCCUUCGCUCCUGGAACAGGUCCUGGCACCAAGUAUUUGCUCAGCACUCUCAUGGCCUUCAUAGCAUAGAAUGACUUCUGGCCUUGUACCUCCUCGUCACAAUGCCAAAUGAGUUGGCUCUGUGUGCUACAAGAGUUCUGGAGAACUAUCUAUGGAAACUACAAUGUAAUGACUAGCAAUAACUACUGUACGUAUAAGGAAAUGACUGCAAACCACACAGAUUCAUCCUGUUAAAUUCAAAGAUCAUUUAUUCAACUUUCCCAUAACCAAAUCACAAAAACACCUGUGGCUACUCUCAAGUCAACUGAUGCAAAGAGAAUUGUAAUGGAAGAGGGGCCAAGUGAAGAGAGAGAACAGUGGAAUCAUUUGUGGCUAAAAUGCCUUACUUUUGGAAAUCAACAUACAUUUUAUAUAUGUUUAUAUGUGUAUAUGAAAAGUAUAUAUGUAAAGGUUCAAAAAUAUAUAUGUGUACAAUGAAUUAUCUUAAUGCUAUCAAUUCUCAUGUACCCUGGAAAGAUUUUUGUAUACAUUGAGAAAUACAUGUACAGCUGAUUUUAAGAGUCCUACUGGACAUAAAUUCAGUCAGAUCUGAACUACAAAAGG